CAGCCGCCACGGUAAUACAGAGGGUGCGAGCGUUAAUCGGAUUUACUGGGCGUAAAGCGUGCGUAGGCGGCUUCUUAAGUCGGAUGUGAAAUCCCUGAGCUUAACUUAGGAAUUGCAUUCGAUACUGGGAAGCUAGAGUAUGGGAGAGGAUGGUAGAAUUCCAGGUGUAGCGGUGAAAUGCGUAGAGAUCUGGAGGAAUACCGAUGGCGAAGGCAGCCAUCUGGCCUAAUACUGACGCUGAGGUACGAAAGCAUGGGGAGCAAACAGGAUUAGAUACCCCUGUAGUUCCUGUCUCUUAUAC
This 301-nucleotide ribosomal RNA is filed under the name uncultured bacterium. RNAcentral's name for it is "partial 16S ribosomal RNA". It matches the Rfam family "Bacterial small subunit ribosomal RNA", at positions 509 to 807 of the family's 1533-position model. The record is from RNAcentral.